AGUGGGGAAUAUUGCACAAUGGAGGGAACUCUGAUGCAGCAACGCCGCGUGGAGGAUGACACAUUUCGGUGCGUAAACUCCUUUUAUAUGAGAAGAUAAUGACGGUAUCAUAUGAAUAAGCACCGGCUAACUCCGUGCCAGCAGCCGCGGUAAUACGGGGGGUGCAAGCGUUACUCGGAAUCACUGGGCGUAAAGAGAAUGUAGGCUGGCUAUUAAGUUGGAAGUGAAAUCCUAUGGCUUAACCAUAGAACUGCUUCCAAAACUGAUUGCCUAGAAUAUGGGAGAGGUAGAUGGAAUUUCUGGUGUAGGGGUAAAAUCCGUAGAGAUCAGAAGGAAUACCGAUUGCGAAGGCGAUCUACUGGAACAUUAUUGACGCUCAGAUUCGAAAGCGUGGGGAGCAAACAGGAUUAGAUACCCUGGUAGUCCACGCCCUAAACGAUGUACACUAGUUGUUGCUAUGCUAGACAUAGCAGUAAUGCAGUUAACACAGUAAGUGUACCGCCUGGGGAGUACGGUCGCAAGAUUAAAACUCAAAGGAAUAGACGGGGACCCGCACAAGCGGUGGAGCAUGUGGUUUAAUUCGACGAUACGCGAAGAACCUUACCUGGCCUUGACAUAGAUAGAAUUUUGCAGAGACGCGAAAGUGCUAGUUUACUAGAGCUAUCAUACAGGUGCUGCACGGCUGUCGUCAGCUCGUGUCGUGAGAUGUUGGGUUAAGUCCCGCAACGAGCGCAACCCUCGUGUUUAGUUACUAACAGUUCGGCUGAGGACUCUAAACAGACUGCCUGGGUAACCAGGAGGAAGGUGAGGACGACGUCAAGUCAUCAUGGCCCUUACGGCCAGGGCUACACACGUGCUACAAUGGGGUAUACAAAGAGCCGCGAUACCGUGAGGUGGAGCAAAUCUCAUAAAAUAUCUCCCAGUUCGGAUUGAAGUCUGCAACUCGACUUCAUGAAGUUGGAAUCGCUAGUAAUCGUGAAUCAGCAAUGUCACGGUGAAUACGU
RNAcentral lists this ribosomal RNA (1004 nucleotides) under uncultured bacterium. RNAcentral's name for it is "bacterial SSU rRNA". It matches the Rfam family "Bacterial small subunit ribosomal RNA", at positions 353 to 1371 of the family's 1533-position model. The record is from RNAcentral.